RNAcentral lists this ribosomal RNA (228 nucleotides) under uncultured bacterium. RNAcentral describes it as "partial 16S ribosomal RNA". It matches the Rfam family "Bacterial small subunit ribosomal RNA", at positions 145 to 353 of the family's 1533-position model. The record is from RNAcentral.
AACAGACGGAAACGACUGCUAAUACCGAAUAAGUUCCAAGAGCCGCAUGGCCCAUGGAAGAAAAAGGUGGCCUCUACCUGUAAGCUAUCGCCUGAAGAGGGGUUUGCGUCUGAUUAGCUGGUUGGAGGGGUAACGGCCCACCAAGGCGACGAUCAGUAGCCGGUCUGAGAGGAUGAACGGCCACACUGGAACUGAGACACGGUCCAAACUCCUACGGGAGGCAGCAUG